This 429-nucleotide ribosomal RNA is filed under the name Bacteroidota bacterium. RNAcentral's name for it is "Bacteroidetes bacterium partial 16S ribosomal RNA". It matches the Rfam family "Bacterial small subunit ribosomal RNA", at positions 355 to 776 of the family's 1533-position model. Lineage: Bacteria; Pseudomonadati; Bacteroidota. The record is from RNAcentral.
UAGGGAAUCUUCCGCAAUGGACGCAAGUCUGACGGAGCAACGCCGCGUGAGUGAAGAAGGAUUUCGGUUCGUAAAACUCUGUUGUUAGAGAAGAACAGCGCAUAGAGUAACUGUUAUGCGUGUGACGGUAUCUAACCAGAAAGCCACGGCUAACUACGUGCCAGCAGCCGCGGUAAUACGUAGGUGGCAAGCGUUGUCCGGAUUUAUUGGGCGUAAAGCGAGCGCAGGCGGUCAAUUAAGUCUGAUGUGAAAGCCCCCGGCUCAACCGGGGAGUGUCAUUGGAAACUGGUUGACUUGAGUACAGAAGAGGAGAGUGGAAUUCCAUGUGUAGCGGUGAAAUGCGUAGAUAUAUGGAGGAACACCAGUGGCGAAGGCGACUCUCUGGUCUGUAACUGACGCUGAGGCUCGAAAGCGUGGGUAGCAAACAGG